Molecule: ribosomal RNA, 324 nt
Filed under: uncultured eukaryote
Lineage: Eukaryota
Description: partial 18S ribosomal RNA
Rfam family: Eukaryotic small subunit ribosomal RNA
Source: RNAcentral
CCCCUAGAUGUUCUGGGCCGCACGCGCGCUACACUGAACAGUUCAACAAGUCUUAACCUUGGCCGAUAGGUCUGGGUAAUCUUUGAACGCUGUUCGUGAUUGGGAUAGACCUUUGCAAUUAUGGGUCUUCAACGAGGAAUUCCUAGUAAACGCAAGUCAUCAGCUUGCAUUGAUUACGUCCCUGCCCUUUGUACACACCGCCCGUCGCACCUACCGAUUGAGUGAUCCGGUGAAUAAUUCGGACUGCAGCAGUGUUCAGUUCCUGAACGUUGCAGCGGAAAGUUUAGUGAACCUUAUCACUUAGAGGAAGGAGAAGUCGUANCA